Molecule: ribosomal RNA, 782 nt
Filed under: Achromobacter xylosoxidans
Lineage: Bacteria; Pseudomonadati; Pseudomonadota; Betaproteobacteria; Burkholderiales; Alcaligenaceae
Description: bacterial SSU rRNA
Rfam family: Bacterial small subunit ribosomal RNA
Source: RNAcentral
UCGAACGGCAGCACGGACUUCGGUCUGGUGGCGAGUGGCGAACGGGUGAGUAAUGUAUCGGAACGUGCCCAGUAGCGGGGGAUAACUACGCGAAAGCGUAGCUAAUACCGCAUACGCCCUACGGGGGAAAGCAGGGGAUCGCAAGACCUUGCACUAUUGGAGCGGCCGAUAUCGGAUUAGCUAGUUGGUGGGGUAACGGCUCACCAAGGCGACGAUCCGUAGCUGGUUUGAGAGGACGACCAGCCACACUGGGANUGAGACACGGCCCAGACUCCUACGGGAGGCAGCAGUGGGGAAUUUUGGACAAUGGGGGAAACCCUGAUCCAGCCAUCCCGCGUGUGCGAUGAAGGCCUUCGGGUUGUAAAGCACUUUUGGCAGGAAAGAAACGUCGCGGGUUAAUACCUCGCGAAACUGACGGUACCUGCAGAAUAAGCACCGGCUAACUACGUGCCAGCAGCCGCGGUAAUACGUAGGGUGCAAGCGUUAAUCGGAAUUACUGGGCGUAAAGCGUGCGCAGGCGGUUCGGAAAGAAAGAUGUGAAAUCCCAGAGCUUAACUUUGGAACUGCAUUUUUAACUACCGGGCUAGAGUGUGUCAGAGGGAGGUGGAAUUCCGCGUGUAGCAGUGAAAUGCGUAGAUAUGCGGAGGAACACCGAUGGCGAAGGCAGCCUCCUGGGAUAACACUGACGCUCAUGCACGAAAGCGUGGGGAGCAAACAGGAUUAGAUACCCUGGUAGUCCACGCCCUAAACGAUGUCAACUAGCUGUUGGGGCCUUCGGGCCU